RNAcentral lists this ribosomal RNA (483 nucleotides) under Lithobius agilis. RNAcentral's name for it is "partial large subunit ribosomal RNA". It matches the Rfam family "Bacterial large subunit ribosomal RNA", at positions 1824 to 2579 of the family's 2925-position model. Lineage: Eukaryota; Metazoa; Arthropoda; Chilopoda; Lithobiomorpha; Lithobiidae. The record is from RNAcentral.
UGCCUUAUGUUGAUAGUUUAUAAGGUAAGAUCUGCCCAAUGAUUAGUUAAAUGGCCGCGGUAUCCUAACCGUGCGAAGGUAGCAUAAUAGUUUGUCUUUUAAUUGAGGUCUGGUAUGAAUGAUUUUAUGAGAGGAAAGCUGUCUUUUAAGUAUUAUUUGAAUUUUUAUGUUAGGUGAAGAUACUUAAGUGUAUAUAAAAGACGAGAAGACCCUGUCAAGUUUUAUAAUUAAUGUUAAUUUUAGGUUAAUAUAAUUUAUGUUUUAUUAUUUGGUUGGGGCAAUUGAUUAAUAAGUGAAAUUUUAUUGUUAUGUAAAUAUUGAUUAUUAAAUAUGAUUUAUGAGCCAAUUAUUUGAUUAAUAGAAAAAAUUACUGCAGGGAUAACAGCGUAAUUUCUUUUUAGAGUUCUUAUCGAUGAAGAAGAUUGCGACCUCGAUGUUGGUUUAAGAUUCUUAUUUGGCGCAGGAGUUGAAUAAAGUAGUCUG